This 487-nucleotide ribosomal RNA is filed under the name uncultured soil bacterium. RNAcentral's name for it is "bacterial SSU rRNA". It matches the Rfam family "Bacterial small subunit ribosomal RNA", at positions 26 to 517 of the family's 1533-position model. The record is from RNAcentral.
AGAAUGAACGCUGGCGGCGUGCUUUACACAUGCAAGUUGAGCGAGGCCACCCGCAAGGGUGAGUCGAGCGGCGAACGGGUGAGUAACGCGUGGAUAACCUGCCCUGAGGUGGGGAAUAACCCGAGGAAACUCGGGCUAAUACCGCAUGAUACCAAGCGGUCAAAGAGGGCUCGCAAGAGCUCUUGCCACAGGAGGGGUCCGCGUUCGAUUAGCUAGUUGGUAGGGUAAUGGCCUACCAAGGCGACGAUCGAUAGCCGGCCUGAGAGGGUGAUCGGCCACACUGGAACUGAGACACGGUCCAGACUCCUACGGGAGGCAGCAGUGGGGAAUUUGCGCAAUGGGCUAACGCCUGACGCAGCAACGCCGCGUGGAGGAUGAAGGUCUUUGGAUUGUAAACUCCUGUCAGCAAGGAAAAGCAAAGAGACCUAAUACGUCUUUGAGUUGAUUGUACUGCAGAGAAGCCCGCUAACUCUGCGCCAGUACGCCG